Molecule: ribosomal RNA, 253 nt
Filed under: uncultured bacterium
Lineage: Bacteria
Description: partial 16S ribosomal RNA
Rfam family: Bacterial small subunit ribosomal RNA
Source: RNAcentral
UACGAAGGGGGCUAGCGUUGUUCGGAAUUACUGGGCGUAAAGCGAGUGUAGGCGGUUGCCCAAGUCAGGUGUGAAAGCCUUGAGCUCAACUCAAGAAAUGCACUUGGUACUGGGUGGCUAGAGGACCGGAGAGGAUAGUGGAAUUCCCAGUGUAGUGGUGAAAUACGUAGAGAUUGGGAAGAACACCAGUGGCGAAGGCGGCUAUCUGGACGGUUACUGACGCUAAGACUCGAAAGCGUGGGGAGCAAACAGG